This 978-nucleotide ribosomal RNA is filed under the name uncultured bacterium. Its description in RNAcentral is "bacterial SSU rRNA". It matches the Rfam family "Bacterial small subunit ribosomal RNA", at positions 511 to 1503 of the family's 1533-position model. The record is from RNAcentral.
GCAGCCGCGGGUAAUACGGAAGGUCCAGGCGUAUCCGGGAUUAUGGGUUAAAGGAGCGUAGGGCUGAGAUCAAGUGUGUUGUGAAAUGUAGACGCUCAACGUCUGAAAUUGCAGCGCAUACUGGUUUCCUUUGAGUACGCACAACGUUGGCGGAAUUCGUCGUGUAGCGGUGAAAUGCUUAGAUAUGACGAAGAACUCCGAUUGCGAAGGCAGCUGACGGGAGCGCAACUGACGCUUAAGCUCGAAGGUGCGGGUAUCAAACAGGAUUAGAUACCCUGGUAGUCCGCACAGUAAACGAUGGAUGCCCGCUGUUGGUACCUGGUAUCAGCGGCUAAGCGAAAGCAUUAAGCAUCCCACCUGGGGAGUACGCCGGCAACGGUGAAACUCAAAGGAAUUGACGGGGGCCCGCACAAGCGGAGGAACAUGUGGUUUAAUUCGAUGAUACGCGAGGAACCUUACCCGGGCUUGAAUUGCAGAGGAAGGAUUUAGAGAUAAUGACGCCCUUCGGGGUCUCUGUGAAGGUGCUGCAUGGUUGUCGUCAGCUCGUGCCAUGAGGUGUCGGCUUAAGUGCCAUAACGAGCGCAACCCCUCUCUUCAGUUGCCAUCAGGUAAUGCUGGGCACUCUGGAGACACUGCCACCGUAAGGUGUGAGGAAGGUGGGGAUGACGUCAAAUCAGCACGGUCCUUACGUCCGGGGCUACACACGUGUUACAAUGGCCGGUACAUAGGGAUGGUGUAAUGCAAAUUGCAUCAAAUCUUGAAAGCCGGUCCCAGUUCGGACUGGGGUCUGCAACCCGACCCCACGAAGCUGGAUUCGCUAGUAAUCGCGCAUCAGCCAUGGCGCGGUGAAUACGUUCCCGGGCCUUGUACACACCGCCCGUCAAGCCAUGAAAGCCGGGGGUGCCUGAAGUCCGUGACCGCAAGGAUCGGCCCAGGGCAAAACUGGUGAUUGGGGCUAAGUCGUAACAAGGUAGCCGU